This 2501-nucleotide ribosomal RNA is filed under the name Vibrio cholerae. RNAcentral's name for it is "partial 23S ribosomal RNA". It matches the Rfam family "Bacterial large subunit ribosomal RNA", at positions 438 to 2925 of the family's 2925-position model. RNAcentral also lists the same sequence under 1 other name. Lineage: Bacteria; Pseudomonadati; Pseudomonadota; Gammaproteobacteria; Vibrionales; Vibrionaceae. The record is from RNAcentral.
CUGAAUAUGGGGGGACCAUCCUCCAAGGCUAAAUACUCCUGACUGACCGAUAGUGAACCAGUACCGUGAGGGAAAGGCGAAAAGAACCCCUGUGAGGGGAGUGAAAUAGAACCUGAAACCGUGUACGUACAAGCAGUAGGAGCACCUUCGUGGUGUGACUGCGUACCUUUUGUAUAAUGGGUCAGCGACUUAUAUUCAGUGGCAAGGUUAACCGUAUAGGGGAGCCGUAGCGAAAGCGAGUCUUAACUGGGCGCUCAGUCUCUGGAUAUAGACCCGAAACCGGGUGAUCUAGCCAUGGGCAGGUUGAAGGUUGAGUAACAUCAACUGGAGGACCGAACCGACUAAUGUUGAAAAAUUAGCGGAUGACUUGUGGCUAGGGGUGAAAGGCCAAUCAAACUCGGAGAUAGCUGGUUCUCCCCGAAAGCUAUUUAGGUAGCGCCUCGGACGAAUACUACUGGGGGUAGAGCACUGUUAAGGCUAGGGGGUCAUCCCGACUUACCAACCCUUUGCAAACUCCGAAUACCAGUAAGUACUAUCCGGGAGACACACGGCGGGUGCUAACGUCCGUCGUGGAGAGGGAAACAACCCAGACCGCCAGCUAAGGUCCCAAAGUAUUGCUAAGUGGGAAACGAUGUGGGAAGGCUCAGACAGCUAGGAUGUUGGCUUAGAAGCAGCCAUCAUUUAAAGAAAGCGUAAUAGCUCACUAGUCGAGUCGGCCUGCGCGGAAGAUGUAACGGGGCUAAGCAAUACACCGAAGCUGCGGCAAUGUCUUUUAGACAUUGGGUAGGGGAGCGUUCUGUAAGCCGUUGAAGGUGAAUCGUAAGGUUUGCUGGAGGUAUCAGAAGUGCGAAUGCUGACAUGAGUAACGACAAAGGGGGUGAAAAACCUCCUCGCCGGAAGACCAAGGGUUCCUGUCCAACGUUAAUCGGGGCAGGGUGAGUCGACCCCUAAGGUGAGGCCGAAAGGCGUAAUCGAUGGGAAACGGGUUAAUAUUCCCGUACUUCUGACUAUUGCGAUGGGGGGACGGAGAAGGCUAGGUGGGCCAGGCGACGGUUGUCCUGGUUCAAGUGCGUAGGCUUGAGAGUUAGGUAAAUCCGGCUCUCUCUAAGGCUGAGACACGACGUCGAGCUACUACGGUAGUGAAGUCAUUGAUGCCAUGCUUCCAGGAAAAGCCUCUAAGCUUCAGAUAGUCAGGAAUCGUACCCCAAACCGACACAGGUGGUCGGGUAGAGAAUACCAAGGCGCUUGAGAGAACUCGGGUGAAGGAACUAGGCAAAAUGGUACCGUAACUUCGGGAGAAGGUACGCUCUUGAUGGUGAAGUCCCUCGCGGAUGGAGCUGACGAGAGUCGCAGAUACCAGGUGGCUGCAACUGUUUAUUAAAAACACAGCACUGUGCAAAAUCGCAAGAUGACGUAUACGGUGUGACGCCUGCCCGGUGCCGGAAGGUUAAUUGAUGGGGUUAGCGCAAGCGAAGCUCUUGAUCGAAGCCCCGGUAAACGGCGGCCGUAACUAUAACGGUCCUAAGGUAGCGAAAUUCCUUGUCGGGUAAGUUCCGACCUGCACGAAUGGCGUAAUGAUGGCCACGCUGUCUCCACCCGAGACUCAGUGAAAUUGAAAUCGCUGUGAAGAUGCAGUGUACCCGCGGCUAGACGGAAAGACCCCGUGAACCUUUACUACAGCUUGGCACUGAACAUUGAACCUACAUGUGUAGGAUAGGUGGGAGGCUAUGAAGACGUGACGCCAGUUGCGUUGGAGCCGUCCUUGAAAUACCACCCUUGUAUGUUUGAUGUUCUAACUUAGACCCAUUAUCUGGGUUGAGGACAGUGCCUGGUGGGUAGUUUGACUGGGGCGGUCUCCUCCCAAAGAGUAACGGAGGAGCACGAAGGUGGGCUAAUCACGGUUGGACAUCGUGAGGUUAGUGCAAUGGCAUAAGCCCGCUUAACUGCGAGAAUGACGGUUCGAGCAGGUGCGAAAGCAGGUCAUAGUGAUCCGGUGGUUCUGUAUGGAAGGGCCAUCGCUCAACGGAUAAAAGGUACUCCGGGGAUAACAGGCUGAUACCGCCCAAGAGUUCAUAUCGACGGCGGUGUUUGGCACCUCGAUGUCGGCUCAUCACAUCCUGGGGCUGAAGUCGGUCCCAAGGGUAUGGCUGUUCGCCAUUUAAAGUGGUACGCGAGCUGGGUUUAGAACGUCGUGAGACAGUUCGGUCCCUAUCUGCCGUGGGCGUUGGAAGAUUGAAGGGGGCUGCUCCUAGUACGAGAGGACCGGAGUGGACGAACCUCUGGUGUUCGGGUUGUGUCGCCAGACGCAUUGCCCGGUAGCUAAGUUCGGAAUUGAUAAGCGCUGAAAGCAUCUAAGCGCGAAGCGAGCCCUGAGAUGAGUCUUCCCUGACAGUUUAACUGUCCUAAAGGGUUGUUCGAGACUAGAACGUUGAUAGGCAGGGUGUGUAAGCGUUGUGAGGCGUUGAGCUAACCUGUACUAAUUGCCCGUGAGGCUUAACCAU